Molecule: microRNA precursor, 114 nt
Filed under: Drosophila simulans
Lineage: Eukaryota; Metazoa; Arthropoda; Insecta; Diptera; Drosophilidae
Description: microRNA dsi-mir-2577 precursor
Source: miRBase by way of RNAcentral
CAGUUCGGUUCAUGGGGAUGGCGUUGGUCGCUUGACUUGAGUGUGUAAGCCGACAGUGGGUUACACCCCAAUUUUACAAUUCCAGGACCGAUCCGAUCCCCAGGAAUCGACUGU